RNAcentral lists this long non-coding RNA (728 nucleotides) under Homo sapiens (human). Its description in RNAcentral is "HSALNT0364674". Lineage: Eukaryota; Metazoa; Chordata; Mammalia; Primates; Hominidae. The record is from RNAcentral.
GAAUGCCAUCUCUAGGAUGCCAAUGGGCUGUGUCUACAGUACUAUGUAGGAAAGUGCUGCAAGAGAAAUCAUAAACACCUCUAAAACACAUGUAUACUGGUGGUGUUAGUCAACUUAUAUCACUGUCUGUGAAGACGAUGCAGCAAAUUCAAUGAAAGUUGUAUACAUCAUGGAAAAGUUUGAAUUGCAUGAAGAAAAGAAGCUGACGGAAGUUCUUUCUGUCACCUCUCUGAAGACCUGGUUCAUAUCUGCAGCUGCAACUCUAUCCCUGAACUCAUCUUUGAAACUACCCAGAGAUAGACUGUCAAGAGCUUCAGAGCUUUACAACAGGAUCUUCCAAGUGCCCUGAGAGGUCAUGAUGGAGCCAAUAGAAAUAAAUCAUACAAAACAAAGCCAGAACCUGGUGGGAGGGAUGCUUACAAAACAACAUAAACGAGAAGUUGUCUGAAAAAAAAUUGUAUGGAAGGAAGAAGAGAUGAGAUAAGGGAAAUGAACUCAUAAUAGCCCCAGUUAAAAUACUUACAGUAAAAUAUCAUUAGUACUACUUGAUGUUGGUGAAAGGCUCUAGACUCAAGUCAGAAGGCCCAAUUUGUUGCUGUGAUUUCUUGAACAAAUUAUGUAAUUGUGUUGAGAUUCAGUUUUCUUUUCUAUCAUUGGGUAUUAAUAACUUCUAUGUGAUGUCAGAGUUAUGAUGUGAAGUUAAAAUAACUAAUAAAUGGGUAAACCCU